This is an RNA transcript of Oncorhynchus kisutch (coho salmon), 10267 nucleotides long. It is a transcript of the gene named mitogen-activated protein kinase kinase kinase kinase 4, with no coding region annotated. The record is from RefSeq and is a predicted model, not a curated record. The transcript has 26 exons. NCBI's taxonomy places the organism in Eukaryota, Metazoa, Chordata, Actinopteri, Salmoniformes, Salmonidae.
GCCCUCACUCAGGCCCUGACCGAUUCAGCUUCCUCUGUUGGUGAUGCUUUACAGGGGAGUGAGUGAGAGAGCGACAACAAGAGAGAGGGAGGCAGGGGGAGAAUAGAGAAAGCAAGCAGCACUCUGCACUGCCAGCCGCGGUAGCUCAAUAUGGAGUAACCGCGUAGGCUCGACAACGACGGGAGUACAAAGAACAACCCGCUUUGGAUCGAAAUUACAUUCACAAGGAAUAAGGGAUCACUUCCAAUAAUGAGAUACGACAUUGCAUACACACAAUCAACUUGAAGGGAUUAAAAUAGACUUAACAAUUUAUAUUUAUUAUUGAAAAAUGGCGAACGAGUCUCCAGCUAAAAGUCUAGUUGACAUAGACCUUGCCUCUUUGCGGGACCCAGCUGGUAUUUUCGAACUGGUGGAAGUGGUCGGCAAUGGCACCUAUGGACAAGUAUACAAGGGCCGACAUGUCAAGACAGGACAACUGGCGGCCAUCAAGGUCAUGGAUGUCACAGAGGAUGAAGAAGAGGAGAUUAAACUGGAGAUUAAUAUGCUGAAGAAGUACUCCCACCACAGAAACAUAGCCACCUAUUACGGAGCCUUCAUCAAGAAGAGCCCACCAGGACAUGACGACCAGCUAUGGCUGGUGAUGGAGUUCUGUGGUGCAGGCUCUAUCACAGACCUGGUGAAGAACACCAAGGGCAACACACUGAAGGAGGACUGGAUCGCCUACAUCUCCCGUGAGAUCCUCAGGGGGUUGGCUCACCUGCACGCCCACCAUGUGAUCCACCGUGACAUCAAGGGCCAGAACGUGCUGCUGACUGAGAACGCUGAGGUCAAACUGGUGGACUUUGGUGUGAGCGCCCAGCUGGACCGGACAGUGGGCCGGAGGAACACCUUCAUCGGGACACCCUAUUGGAUGGCGCCGGAGGUCAUUGCCUGCGACGAGAACCCAGACGCCACCUACGACUACAGAAGUGACUUGUGGUCCACUGGAAUCACAGCUAUAGAGAUGGCUGAGGGAGCUCCUCCACUGUGCGAUAUGCAUCCAAUGAGAGCGCUCUUCCUCAUCCCCAGAAACCCUCCUCCUCGACUCAAGUCAAAGAAAUGGUCUAAGAAGUUUUGCAGCUUCAUUGAAGGUUCCCUGGUGAAGAACUAUACCCAGCGCCCCCCCACCGACCAGCUGCUGAAACACCCCUUCAUCAGGGACCAGCCCAAUGAGAGGCAGGUCCGCAUCCAGCUCAAAGACCACAUCGACCGCACCAAGAAGAAGAGAGGGGAGAAGGAUGAUACAGAGUAUGAGUACAGUGGGAGUGAAGAAGAAGAGGAGGAAGCUCAGGAGCAGGAGGGGGAGCCCAGCUCUAUAGUGAACCAGCCAGGGGAAUCAACCCUGCGUAGGGACUUCAUCCGUCUGCAGCAGGAGAACAAGGAGCGCUCGGAGGCCCUGCGCAGACAGCAGCUCUUGCAGGAGCAGCAGCUCCGGGAGCAGGAGGAGUACAAGCGCCAACUACUGGCAGAGAGGCAGAAACGCAUCGAGCAGCAGAAAGAGCAAAGGAGGAGGCUGGAGGAGCAACAGCGUCGCGAGCGGGAGAUGAGGAGGCAGCAGGAGCGUGAACAGCGCCGCCGCGAGCAGGAUGACAAGAGGCGCAUGGAGGAGGUUGAACGCCGGCGUAAAGAGGAGGAGGAGCGCAGGAGGGCAGAGGAGGAGAAGAGGAGGGCUGACCGCGAGCAGGAGUACAUCCGUCGACAGUUGGAGGAGGAGCAGAGGCACCUGGAGAUCCUGCAGCAGCAGCUUCUCCACGAACAGGCCAUGCAGCUGGUGAGACCAAACUCUGCCGAUGAGAGGUACCGUAAGAACAUCCAAGGAUCUCCUCAGGCUGCCCAGGUUAAGGUCCAGCCCCCAGUUCCUCCCCGCGCCGCAGAGACCGUCGCUAAUGGAAACGCCCCCGUGGCCGCCCCGCCCGCCAUGCACAGACCGAUGGAAGCCCAGGUAACCACGGCAACCAAGAUGGCCUACCGGCAGUAGCUUAUUCCUCCUUUCGCUACACUGUCCUUUUCCUUAAUUAUUUUUCCAAUCCCUUCUUCUUUCCAAGUAGGUCUAACAGGACGGUCUCUCUCCCUCUCUCUCACUCUCUCUCCGGGUUGUGUAUCAGUAGUGGUGUCUAACUAGCUACAGUAGAUGACUGUUUUUGUGUUCACUAUCUUUCUGUUCUCCCCCUCCCUUUGUUCUAGCCUCCGCUCUAGCUGAAUUCUUUCACUGUGCGGAGAAAUGUGGGCGUUGUUCUCUGUCCCUUAAUGAUGACAUAGUUGAACUUUCUGGUCCCUUAAUGGGUUCCUCCAAUGUCUUUGAUGCUUCCCUGGGGGACAGCCUAUCCUCCACCCCUGUGUUAGUAUGAAGUCCAGGCUGCUUGCUUCUGAUCUGGCCAGUCACUGUUCAAUACCAGCUUCACCCACUCACUCUAUCUCUGACUUCCUUCUGUAUUAUGUGUGUAUGUGAGUGUAUGCAUUGCCAGGUUGUUGAUUGAGAUGGUAAAUUUUUUAUAAAAGUAUAGCUGUUACAUUGGGACUGUGUGCUAAACAACACAAACACAUCCAGAAUUCAUCUUUCUGUUUUCAUAGUGACUCAGUAUAUUUCUCAUCUCAACUGCUCAGGGAAAAAGACUCAACCAGCCCAGCAUGAAUACAGUCAUUGUUACAGUUCACCAUUCAGGGCAACAUUCUUUUUUUGGAUAAUGUCAUGGUGAUUAGAUGAAACAUUGUUGAAUUUGGUGGCAAUGAUGAUGAUGUAAUUGAUUGCUAAAUUUUUUAGCAGAGCCAUUUAAAUGCAUUAGUCACUGCACUCGUUAGUGACACGUCAUUAGAGACAGAUAUGAAGCGUGAUGACAUGGGCUCGUUACAAAAUACUCAUUUGUUGAGGGAUAUGUCUCUUUCUAUGGGGCUUCAUGUCUGAGGGCUUCUCAGUACAUAUUUGAAAGUAAUAGGACAUUGAAUAAUUUCAGCUAUAAACCUAGUAUUGAUAUGUUCCUAUUGGAUGAUACUCUUCUCAGUUACUUUUCACCAAAAAAGUAUCCUUGAAUAUGUGCAUGCCAUAUGUGAGUAUGUGUGAUUGUGUCUGUCCAUGCAUGAUGCUAGCUCAUCUGUGUAUGCCUUGUUUAUGUGAUCCAUGCUCAUUCUCACAACUGGUGAUGAGACUGAAGCAUCAUGAGCACCAAAACAGAUAGAGCUGUCAUUGGCUGUCUGUGAUGUGAAUCAAUCAAAUCUGUCUUCCUAAGACUUCAUAUUGGUUGCAUGACUGCUCCACCCAUUUUUAUGCUUCCUGAAGCUUCCGUAUCCAAUCACUGUCUGCUGCCUGUGUUUGUGGUUUUGUUCUCUUGUUGUGUCUCCCUCCUCCUCCACCAUUCCUCCCAAUGUGUCCUUCCUCUCUGAUGAACCCCGUCUGUCUAUCUGUCUCUGGAAGGUCCAAUGGUCCCACCUGGCCUCUCUAAAGAGCAGCAUCGCCACUCCCCCUGUUGUCUCACGCUCUCAUUCCUUCAGUGAGCCCAUCGUCCCUGGUUUUGCACACCUCAACCUACGCUCUCAGGAGCAGCACCAUCAACCUGCACCAUCAUCAUCAUCAUCGCCCGCACACACUGACCUGCAGCCCCACCCGCAGCCUAGGGCCACUCCCCUCGAAAAGGCCCCCACAGACGACUCCCCUCCCAGGGUAAGAACAGGCCUAUCCCCUGGCAAAGGAGAGUAGACUGUUAGUCAUUUGACGACUUUACUAGGAAGUCUGAACUGUAGACAGGUAGACUGGUAGUCACUAGAUGGCCAUGCUGGAGAGGACAAUACUGGAGUGAAUGAGCAGAGUGACGUUGUCUCAGUAAUAGCUAAGAUGGGGCGACCUCCUCCUUGAGCUCUGCUGCCCGACCCAAGCCCGAUGGGCCCCAACAUUAUACAUCGGGUUAGGGCAGGGUAAGGCUUAUUUUUUCAUCAGUAACUAGGGUACGGGCAGGGCUCGGGUAUCACUAAAUUGAUCGCUAACAUUUUGAAGCUGAGCCAUUUGCUCUGCUGCGCUGUACAGUCAUAUCUGACUAAGAUCAUAACAUGGCAUCAGAAGUGUUUCAACCUAGUAAAAUAUAAAACAGGAGAGAUUAUUUCACUGAAAAUAAUUGUUGCUUGAGUUUUGAGUGAUGAAAGUAGCUCACAGCUAACUGCUCUCUGUCUCGUCAUUGAGCAGAGCAGCCCAAGCGGAACCGUUGCUAUGGAUACUCUCAGACCCAGAGCCGCCAUGAGAAAAGCACAUGCAGAGCGAACAGAGUGCAUGAGCGAGUGACGGACAGAGAGGAGCAGCUAAUGGAUUUGCUAAUGGAGGAAGUUAUUUCUGAUUUUGGGUUUUGAGCAGGGCCGGGCCUUCAAUUUCUCAGAAUCAAUCGGACCUUAACGUCGCGGACAUGCCUCGGGCUCUGACUUAAAAUUCAAGCCUGUGCAGGGCUCUACCACCUCCUCACCCUGGCCUGCUGAGAGGAUUCAGAGAGAGCAGAACGUUAUGAAAGGAUUAGAGGUCCAUUUUCUGUUCUCUAUUCCCCCUCUAUUGUCUCUCCUCACAGAACCCUCCCUCGUUCAGCCUCCCAGACCUCAGAAGGAGACUGUUUUAAAAAUAGCAGAGAAAGAAAGCUGCAGCAGCAAUCACUUGAAUGCUGAGUGCUUUUACAUCUCAGCAUUUUAGAAAUGCUCCCAAAUGAAUGGGACGCUGGAGGCUAUCACAAAUGAGGGGUAGGAUUCCGUCUGUUCUAGGAAAAUAUUCAUCAUGUUGAAAUCUAGAUGUUGGCCCCUUUUUUGUCCCCCCCAUCUGCACAAAUUAGAGGUGGAAUUAUUGUCCUCUCUUCACAUAGGGCCUACCUAUCAAACAUCACUUCCUCUUCCCUGGUGAGGUAUGAGUAUGUCAUUUCCUGUUCUGCCCCCUCCACUUCCCAAACGAGCCUCUGUUAUUGUCUCAAAUCAAUGUCAGUGUUAGUAUUCCUUCUGAAUGGAGAGGCUGUUUGUUCUGCUCUGCUUUGGAUGCUGCGCCCUGUUCUUAGGCUAUUUCCCCUCCUGUCCCCUGGAAACUACUACAGAGGAAUGCUAACAAAUCAAUAAUAUAACCUGACAACUGUGUUUGUGUUAAGUCAGGGGUUGAUAAGGGGAAGAGUGUGGAUAUAAUGCGGUCUUUUGCUGUGUAUCAGACCUAACUCUUUCAGUGGGGGGACUUUACACAGUGUGGGUAUGGGGGGGAACAUCAUUUGGACAUUGUAGAAACGUUGUCGGGACCUUGUACGGAUGUCUUAAAAGUGUGUCUAGCAUUUGUGCUCCUGGCACCCCUAUGUCACGCUCUCUCGUGCAUACACGCGCUCCGAGUGUGUGUGUCCGUAGAGUUUGUGUGAGAGCUGGCAUCUGUCUGUAUGGAAGGUUCCUGUGAGGACAACGUCCAGGUCUCCAGUACUGUCAUGCAGGGACUCCCCUUUCCAUGGCAAUGCCACACCUAGCAACCCGGUGAGCCAGAGGAAAGCCAGCAGUGCUGCAGCAGAGCCGCGUCUGCUGUGGGAGCGGGUGGAGAAGCUGGUCCCCAGGCCAGGCAGUGGUAGUAGUGGUAGUACUGGCAGUUCCUCUGGCUCCAGUAACUCCAGCUCUCACAGCGGCUCAGGGGAGAGAUUCAGAGCCCGCUGACCUGACGGCACUGGCCAAAGAACUGCGUGCAGUGGAGGAUGUUCCACGCCCCCACAAGGUGACGGACUACUCCUCAUCCAGUGAAGAGUCGGGCACCACAGAUGAGGAUGAUGAUGAAGAGGUGGACCAGGAGGGGGGGGAGGAGUCUACCUCAGGACCAGAGGACUCUCGGGCUGUCUCUUCGAGGCUGAGCAACGGGGAGACGGAGUCAGUGAAGACUAUGAUCGUUCACGAGGAGGGCGAGAGUGACGCUAAAACCACACCCUGUAAAGAUGGCACUCUGAUCGUCAGACCGAGCCAUUCUUCCAGCAACAGCAUGCAGAAGCACAAGUCCUCCUCCUCCUUCACUCCCUUUAUUGAUCCACGCCUCCUCCAGGUCUCUCCAUCCGGCGCCGCUCUCAAUAACCUGGCUUCUGGGAACGACGCUAGGCUGGCAGAGGCACUGAGGGCGGACCCGUCACGUAAAGGCUCCGUGGUCAAUGUGAACCCUGUCAACACACGACCACAAAGCGACACCCCAGAGAUCCGCAAGUAUAAGAAGAGGUUUAACUCUGAGAUCCUGUGUGCAGCACUCUGGGGUGAGUGGUCACAAUUAUCUCUGCUAUGUAGUUAUCACAGUAAUAUUAGUCUUCACUACCAGGUGACAGCAAUCUAAAUGCAAAACUGUGUGUGUGUAGGAGUGAACCUCCUGGUGGGCACAGAGAGUGGUCUGAUGCUGCUGGACCGUAGCGGUCAGGGGAAGGUCUACCCCCUAAUCAGCCGACGCCGCUUCCAACAGAUGGACGUACUAGAGGGACUCAACGUCCUGGUCACUAUAUCAGGCAAGAAGAACAAGCUGCGUGUUUACUAUCUGUCCUGGCUGAGGAACAAGAUCCUGCACAACGACCCUGAGGUGGAGAAGAAACAGGGCUGGGUCACUGUGGGAGACCUGGAGGGCGCUGUGCACUACAAAGUUGUGAAAUACGAGAGGAUCAAGUUUUUGGUUCUGGCCCUGAAGAACUCGGUGGAGGUCUAUGCAUGGGCACCGAAGCCAUACCACAAGUUCAUGGCUUUCAAGUCGUUUGGUGACCUGGUGCACAAGCCCCUGCUGGUUGACCUGACGGUGGAGGAAGGUCAGAGAUUAAAGGUCAUCUAUGGCUCCAGUAACGGAUUUCAUGCCGUUGACGUGGACUCGGGGGCAGUCUACGACAUCUACCUGCCCACCCAUAUCCAGACCAGUAUCCAGUCCCAUGCCAUCAUCAUCCUGCCCAACACAGAUGGCAUUGAGCUGCUAGUGUGUUACGAGGACGAGGGUGUCUAUGUCAACACCUAUGGACGCAUCACCAAGGACGUGGUGCUGCAGUGGGGCGAGAUGCCCACUUCUGUGGCCUACAUACGUUCUAACCAGAUUAUGGGCUGGGGGGAGAAGGCCAUAGAGAUCAGGUCUGUGGAGACCGGACACCUGGACGGGGUCUUCAUGCACAAGAGAGCCCAGAGACUCAAGUUCCUGUGUGAGAGGAAUGACAAGGUGUUCUUUGCCUCGGUGCGGUCCGGAGGAGCCAGCCAGGUGUACUUUAUGACCCUGGGGCGUACCUCUCUGCUCAGCUGGUAGAGAAAGACCAUGCCCCCUCUACACUGGAAACCAACCAACCGCGUUUUACCCAACGUUCAGUGAUGCCAACGGACAAAGGCCAACCAUCUCCGUCUUAGCUACGACCUUCGACCCGGAGCAUCAUGUUAUAUUGAGGAUACAUACAACAUCCAGAUGCCGUCUCCCCAGCCGUGAAUACCAGAUAUGAGAAUUGUUCAAAAUUAAGUUAAUUGAUUAUAAAACAACAAAAAUAAAGGGGGGAACGGUUUGCCCCGCUGUGGUGCUCAACUGAUUGUGGACACGUCUGUGCGGGGUCGUUGCCCUGAACACCUGUGACCUCUGUGUGUGUCGUUCCUAGUUACUGACUGUGCUGUGGGCUUGAAGUUUACUAACUACUCUCUGCAUCUUCUGCUCGUAUUUCAGGAACCCCCUUCCACCCCACCCUUAGCGAGGGAGGAGCUGGGGUGGAGCAUACAGUGUUAAUGCUACAGUAGUGUAUGUAAAUGUAUUUCUGUUUGGUACAAUGAUUGCUGACUGCAAGGGGGCGGAGGGGGUUGAAGCUGUCAGUCAUGGAGGAGGCGGGAGUAGAGAAGCCGAGCAAGGGAGCCAAUUUGUUCGAUGCCAUGAUGACAGAAGGUGGAAGGGGCCAAGGCGUUUUACCGUAAAUCUGGUAGUAUCUGAGAGGACUCAGCUGGACUGUGUGUUGAUAGAGUUAAGACAGCUACAGUAUUUUAAUGGGCGCGGUCAAAGAAAAUGAUUUUAUCCGGAUGGACUUCAGACUAGUAUUUUUUAUUAUAAAUUCCCUAAAAAAAGUGAAACUAUGUGGAGUUAAUAUUUCUUUUACCUUAUUUUCUAAAAUCACAUUUGCACAGUCUCCAGUUUUCUUGAUUUUAUUCCAACCCACAACACAUUGAAGUGUUUUAGGAGUUAGAGAGAGUGGGUGGGUUAGAAAAGGAAACCAUGUCUAUGUAUAAUAAAAUGUAAUUUAAUCUCAUCCAUAGUUUCAGUGGUCAUGGUAGUGGAUCCCUGUGUGAUCCGGCUUGGACCAUCAGAGGGUCCAGGAUGGAGGACAUGGUCCGGAUGUGAAUAGACAGAUAUAAUAAAAGAGAGUGGAGGAGAAGGGUAAGGUGAUAGUAUUUUGUGUGUGUGUGUGUGGUUGGUUGGUUGGUUGUAUAGGGGCCAAUAGAUGAGAGAGGAGGGGUGUUGAUGUACGUUUUUGUAGCAGAAAGGUUACACAUGGUCAGCACAACUCAAUGGACUCCUAGUCAGUGGAUAGAACAAAACUGUUUUAUUGUUCUUUUGAUAUUUCAGCUUUUUGUUUUUCAUUUGUAUCUUUUCAUGAAUGCAGUGCACUAAGUGUCAAGAAUGUAGAAAGAAGUAUACUGUGUGGUAGUCGAAGGCAUGAGACUUUUAUUUGUGUUCCUUGUCACAAGUGAUUGAUUUCGAUGUUCAAUUUCAAAGUAACACAAGUGAAUACUAAAUGAAGGCUCCGCUAUUAAAGAUGUUGAUUUUCCUUUCACAAACUCAAUGUUUUAAAGUGCAUCAGAGCUGGAGAGGGAGCAGCUCUGAGUUGAGACGAUGCUAGGCUAUAGUAGUUUUCUGUGGAGCCAGUAUGCUCACAGUAGCCCAAUCAACCUUAUUCACCAACAGGGCUUAGUCCUUAGUGUAACUGUAAACAACAUGACCACGCUUAGCUAAGUCGUCUUGAGCACGGUACGUUUGUCCAAAUCAGAGGAGAGCAGUCUAGUCACCAGGAGCCAGAACACAGGUGACCUGACCAUUGUGAUUCUACAGCUCUCGUUUGACGGUGUUCAUGACGGAAACCCACUUUGGGCAGAAUCCUUUUUUUCACUGUUAAAGGCUUUAGUCUGUACAUAUAUGUAAAGAAGACUAUUCAAUUAACUGCAAUAUCCCCUGCUACGGCUCUCCCACAACAGUGGUGUAUCUAACCUUCGUUGACCAUGGUGACAAACAAGAACAACAUCAACAACAGGCUAUUAUCUUGUUUUCCCACAGAACACAACUGUGUUUUAAUGGUGGUGAUGGAUCAAAGCUAUUUCACCCAAGUGGACAGACUCUGUACACUGACUAUGUGUCCGACAGUGGGUCAAUGAUCUCUGGAUCUUUCUCAUAUUAACAGUCAUGUCAUUAUGUGUGUAGAGCUGUGGGAAAGGCAUUGCAAAUUACAUGUCACAGAAUUGUUUCACGAGCCAACUUCUAUAUGGAAAAAGAAGCCCGUUUGAAGAGCGAACCCCAAUGCUGUAUGUGUGUGUUUUAAUAGCCUCCCAAUGCUGACCCACUAUGUCUUUCUGGUUGCAUCAAGGCCUUCAUGAGGCAUAAGUUACUUAAUUAAGAUUAUUGUUAUUGAUAUUCUUAUUAAUGGAAAAAGAUGAAACAUUUUUGCAAUCUGAAAAGCAUUCGCUUGCUGAUUUAACCUUUUUUUUUUAAGUGCUAAGAUGGCAACAUUAAAUGUUUUUCUUUAAAUUACAAAAGCACUUUGUUGAUCUCACUUGAAGCAUUUUGUAUUCUUAAGUUUUAACUUGGUUAAGAAGCUUAAUAAUAGUUUGUGUAAGUUUAUGUACUCUGCAGUGGUUGAAUAUUAUAAUGCUCACGUUAGGUCGAGAAAAUGGAAAUGUUUACAGAGGCAAUGUUUUGUUACACUAAUGUGCAUCAUAUUUAUGUUUUUUUGUUGCUUGUUUUGUAUUGAAUGUUAUUUUAGUCAAUAAUCCUAAAUGAUGCCAUUGUUUUUCUCUCUCAAAUAACCAACUCACAACACAAUAAAGAAUAUACUUGCAAUAUUUAAUUUUCCAGAUGUUCCCAUAACAUUAAUCCAGCGUUGUGGGGACAUUGUAGUGAUGUACAGUCCGUUUCCUGCAGGCUUGGAUGUCAGUCAGGCUUGGGUGUUUUUCUCCAGUGUUUCUGCCAUGCUACUCUAAUUUAUGUCCUCUCUAUGUAUGACAGGAAGUCCUGUAUUUUCCUGAAGGUUUUUUUUCUUUGAAUAAACUAAAGUAAUUUAAAGAC